This 382-nucleotide unclassified non-coding RNA is filed under the name soil metagenome. RNAcentral's name for it is "partial contains 5.8S ribosomal RNA, internal transcribed spacer 2, and large subunit ribosomal RNA". The stretch from base 1 to 120 matches the Rfam family "5.8S ribosomal RNA", at positions 35 to 154 of the family's 154-position model. The record is from RNAcentral.
GAUGAAGAACGCAGUGAAAUGCGAUAAGUAAUGUGAAUUGCAGAAUUCAGUGAAUCAUCGAAUCUUUGAACGCACAUUGCGCCCCUCGGCACUCCGGGGGGCAUGCCUGUCCGAGCGUCAUUGCACCCCUCGAGCCCCCCGUGGCUUGGUCGUGAGCCGCGCCCGCGCCAGCCCCGUCCCCCCCCGUGCAGCGGGGGGCAGGGGCGCCGGGCGGGCUCGAAACGCAGUGGCGGCCCCCGGGCGACUUCCAGCGCGAUGACAUGUUUCGCUGCCGAAGCCUUCGCCCCGGGCGCCCGCCAGGCAACCCCCGUGCUUCUUACGCGGUUGACCUCGGAUCAGGCAGGGAUACCCGCUGAACUUAAGCAUAUCAAUAAGCGGAGGA